AGGAGGAAGAUGUCAUCUGUCAUCCUACUGAUUGCCAAGGUUGACUUGGCUGACCUGGAUGGCUAGGCAGGUGUUCCCUUCCCCUGUCACCACCCCUGUCCCUCCUGAAGCUGUGCACCCAGCAGAAGAGGACACAGGAAGGCUGGCAUUCUGUCAAGGGCACACAAAUGGCUGACCUCCAAAUAAUUCUCAAAGUAGAGGGACCACAAAUUCCAUCUGAAUUACACUCAGGGAUCCAUUCAUUUUGUUUGCAUUGCCU
Unclassified non-coding RNA from Cricetulus griseus (Chinese hamster), 259 nucleotides. Its record names the gene 7SK. It matches the Rfam family "7SK RNA". From Rfam's summary of the family: 7SK was discovered as an abundant small nuclear RNA in the mid-70s but a possible function has only recently been suggested. Two independent studies have found that 7SK RNA binds the CDK9/cyclin T complex (known as elongation factor P-TEFb). NCBI's taxonomy places the organism in Eukaryota, Metazoa, Chordata, Mammalia, Rodentia, Cricetidae. The record is from Ensembl.